AUGUAUAAAGAAAAGAAGGAGAUUCUUUGUACAGUGGUUAAGAAGUGUAGGACACCUGAUGGUUGUGCAUCAAACUUUUCGAGGUGUGUGAACAUGAAAGAAUUGACAUUGACUGGCCUCAAAAGCCACGACUGCCAUGUUAUUCUACAAGACAUCCUUCCUGUGGCACUUUUACACUGUUAUCCCAGUAAAGAUUUCAUGAUAAUAGUUGUUGAGCUGGCUAAUUUCUUCAAGAAGCUAUGCUCCAAAGUGUUAGAUGUCUCUGAGCUUGACAAACUGCAAGAGAGUAUUGUGAAGACACUUUGUAAUAUGGAAAAGGUUUUUCUUCCAUCGUUUUUUACUGUCAUGGUACAUUUAAUGGUGCAUUUAGUUGAAGAAGCUAAACUUGGUGGCCCGGUGCAUUACAGGUGGAUGUACCCUCUAGAGAGAUCAUUUGUUUGGCUAAAGUCACUUGUGCGCAAUAGAGCUUAUCCUGAAGGUUCUAUUGCUGAAGGAUAUACUGUUGAAGAAUGCUUGACCUUUUGUUCAAGAUUUCUAGAAGGAACCACACGUUUCACAAGAACAUCUAGGAACCCUGAUCCUUCGGAUAAUACAAAGGGCAUGUACAUGUUUGAUAGUGUUGGUGAGCCAAUUGGAAAGGCUGUCACUAUAGGCCAGUUGGACGAUCAGCUUCUAGUUCAAGCACAUAGAUAUGUCUUGCGACACUCUGAUGAGCUUGAUGAUCUUCGUAGAGAAUUUCUGGACCAAGAGAAGAGGAAACCGGGUAACUUAAAUUUGACGGAUGAUGACAAUGAGGAUUUGAUUAGUAGACACUUUGCUGACUGGUUGGAACAAAAGGUUAUACUAGAUGAUGGACUGGAUAUCACAGAAAAGAUAAGAGCAUUAGCCGCAAAACCAAGCAAAUGCGGGGUGCGCUAUAGUGGCUAUAUAAUUAAUGGUUUCAGGUUUCAUACUAUCAGUCGCGAGACAGGACACGUGACACAAAAUAGUGGUGUCGUGAACCUUGCUGAAAAUGGUGUGUCCUAUUAUGGUCGGUUAUCUGACAUCUUCGAGUUGUCAUACAAAGAUUACAAGGUGGUCUUCUUUAAAUGUGAUUGGGGAGAAGUUAGAGGAUGA
Molecule: ribosomal RNA, 1116 nt
Filed under: Triticum aestivum (bread wheat)
Lineage: Eukaryota; Viridiplantae; Streptophyta; Magnoliopsida; Poales; Poaceae
Description: partial small subunit ribosomal RNA
Source: RNAcentral